RNAcentral lists this unclassified non-coding RNA (390 nucleotides) under Hevea brasiliensis (rubber tree). The record is from RNAcentral. Lineage: Eukaryota; Viridiplantae; Streptophyta; Magnoliopsida; Malpighiales; Euphorbiaceae.
GAGAGAGAGAGAGAUGUCAAUCUCCAAAAUGUUUGUAGAAUAUUGUCUAGUAUAGAAGUUAAUCUUUGUGCUUUCUUGAUCAAAUCACAUCCAAAACAACUUUGAUGUCAUUCACUCAUUCUACAACUCUAAGCUGACCUUUAGAUGAUUCAGCAUCUUGAGCUGAACUGGUAAGCAAGAAAGAUGAGCAUGAAUAAUCUGGGCUUUGUCCCUGUGCCUGUCAUGAGAAUCACUAUUUUCUGGUUUAACUAUCUUGACCUGUUGUUAAUAUCAGUGAAAUCAAAAUGUGAAUUUGCUACAUCUUCCAAGAAGGCCACAUUUGAACAAAAACAAUAUAUCUUUGAGGGACUGUCAUGGGUCUUAUAUGCUGGACAACUUGAUAGUAUCCUA